CCUGCGCCCCGCUGCGUUUUCUCGUCAGACUGUGCUCAUCUUGGCUCUGCAGAGGAGCAAAGUUGCUGGUUGGGACUACGACUUGGGCGCUGCAGAGCACGCCACAAUCAAGACCCUUGCCCACAAUUCCUCUCUCUCCCUCUGCCUCUCGACCUGCCUGGCUCUCAGAGCUUCCCUGUGUGUCCUCCCGUGGCGUGGCCUGCCUCGCCGUCUUGGGAAGGGCUACAACUGAAGAAGACAUGUGACAACAUAACUUUUUAAGUGGUGCAAAGCUUUCUCAGCCCAUUUUCUGCCCACAAAGAGAAGCACAACAGUCUACUUCAGUCCAGGCAGAGAGAACCGCCUUCUUUCUUCAAAGACGUAAGAGGAUUUGCUCAGUAAAAGGACUAACAGCAUUCUCUGAAAGGGACACCUUGAGAGCGCCUGUGAUUGCCGCUCCGAUCAACUCUCCUCCUAUCAAUCAUCAGAACACACCAAAGAAGCAGAAUGGGAUGCAUGGGAGUCAGUUAAAAAACAAGCUAACCUAACUGGCUGCAAAAAGACAUCUUAAAAAUUUGCUUUGUGGUCUGAAAGUCCAAAAGGACCAGUGCUUAGUAUAUCUAUAGCUUCCUCAGUCUGCUACAGGUGCUCUUUUAAGAAGAGGUCAGAGAUAUAGAUCAAUCUCUUUCUGCCACAUGAAAACACAAGGUGAAACUCAACAGUCUGCAACUAUGAAGAGGACCCUCGCUAGAACCCGGCCAUGUUGACAACAUGAUCUGAGUUCCAGUCUCAGAACUUUACGAAGUAAUUUCUGUUUAUAAGACCCCCAAGUCUGGUAUUUUGUUAAACCAGCCAAACUAACUAAGACACAAUUUGACCCUAUCCAGACACUUCUUGCUUGGACUCUGCAAGGUAAAAAGGUGGUUGUGAACACAUGAGGGGAGAAAGGUACACUGAAGAAUUUAGAUAAAUGAUUAGAUAGGAAAAUCUGAAUGUGAGGUGCCUGUAAAAGGGGUGAAAAGUGGCAUCACAAUGGGAUGCUUUGAACUACUCCAGAAUAUAAAACUAACCCUCAGGAAAGUGUUUCGAGUAGCUAAAAAUAAAAAAAAUAAAAAAAAAAAAAA
Molecule: long non-coding RNA, 1103 nt
Organism: Globicephala melas (long-finned pilot whale)
Lineage: Eukaryota; Metazoa; Chordata; Mammalia; Artiodactyla; Delphinidae
Source: RefSeq, a predicted model, not a curated record